This 378-nucleotide ribosomal RNA is filed under the name uncultured bacterium. RNAcentral describes it as "bacterial SSU rRNA". It matches the Rfam family "Bacterial small subunit ribosomal RNA", at positions 521 to 898 of the family's 1533-position model. The record is from RNAcentral.
UAAUACGAAGGGGGCAAGCGUUGUUCGGAAUUACUGGGCGUAAAGGGCGCGCAGGCGGCCCUUGAAGUCAGGUGUGAAAGCCCCGGGCUCAACCUGGGAAUGGCACUUGAUACUCGAGGGCUGGAGUUCGGGAGAGGAGAGUGGAAUUCCCAGUGUAGAGGUGAAAUUCGUAGAUAUUGGGAAGAACACCGGUGGCGAAGGCGGCUCUCUGGACCGAGACUGACGCUGAGGCGCGAAAGCGUGGGGAGCAAACAGGAUUAGAUACCCUGGUAGUCCACGCCGUAAACGAUGUGCGCUAGACGUUGGGGAGCCUAGCUCUCCGGUGUCGCAGCUAACGCGAUAAGCGCACCGCCUGGGGAGUACGGCCGCAAGGUUAAA